CCUACGGGAGGCAGCAGUGGGGGAUCUUGCACAAUGGGGGAAAGCCUGAUGCAGCAACGCCGCGUGGGUGAAGAAGCGCCUCGGCGCGUAAAGCCCUGUCAGCAGGGAAGAAAAUGCCUGUAACUGAAGAAGAAACCCCGGCUAACUACGUGCCAGCAGCCGCGGGAAUACGUAGGGGGCAGGCGGUAUCCGGAUUUACUGGGUGUAAAGGGGGCGCGGACGGCUAUGCAAGUCAGGAGUGAAAGCCCGGGGCCGAACCCCGGGACUGCUUUUGGAACUGCGUGGCUAGAGUGCAGGAGGGGCAGGCGGAAUUCCUGGUGUAGCGGUGAAAUGCGUAGAUAUCAGGAGGAACACCGGUGGCGAAGGCGGCCUGCUGGACUGCAACUGACGCUGAGGCCCGAAAGCGUGGGGAGCAAACAGGAUUAGAUACCCUUGUAGUC
This 440-nucleotide ribosomal RNA is filed under the name uncultured bacterium. RNAcentral's name for it is "partial 16S ribosomal RNA". It matches the Rfam family "Bacterial small subunit ribosomal RNA", at positions 338 to 795 of the family's 1533-position model. The record is from RNAcentral.